RNAcentral lists this transfer RNA (70 nucleotides) under Spicara maena (blotched picarel). RNAcentral describes it as "tRNA-Ile". It matches the Rfam family "tRNA". From Rfam's summary of the family: Transfer RNA (tRNA) molecules are approximately 80 nucleotides in length. Their secondary structure includes four short double-helical elements and three loops (D, anti-codon, and T loops). Further hydrogen bonds mediate the characteristic L-shaped molecular structure. tRNAs have two regions of fundamental functional importance: the anti-codon, which is responsible for specific mRNA codon recognition, and the 3' end, to which the tRNAs corresponding amino acid is attached (by aminoacyl-tRNA synthetases). tRNAs cope with the degeneracy of the genetic code in two manners: having more than one tRNA (with a specific anti-codon) for a particular amino acid; and 'wobble' base-pairing, i.e. permitting non-standard base-pairing at the 3rd anti-codon position. Lineage: Eukaryota; Metazoa; Chordata; Actinopteri; Spariformes; Centracanthidae. The record is from RNAcentral.
GGAGCUGUGCCUGAAGUAAAGGGCCACUUUGAUAGAGUGAAUUAUGGAGGUUAAAAUCCUCCCAACUCCU